AUCUGCCCCUCACUUCGGGACAAGCCCUGGAAACGGGGUCUAAUACCGGAUGAUACCUCCACUCGCAUGGGUGGGGGUUGAAAGCUCCGGCGGUGAGGGAUGAGCCCGCGGCCUAUCAGCUAGUUGGUGAGGUAACGGCUCACCAAGGCGACGACGGGUAGCCGGCCUGAGAGGGCGACCGGCCACACUGGGACUGAGACACGGCCCAGACUCCUACGGGAGGCAGCAGUGGGGAAUAUUGCACAAUGGGCGCAAGCCUGAUGCAGCGGGGGGGGCGUGAGGGAUGACGGCCUUCGGGUUGUAAACCUCUUUCAGCAGGGAAGAAGCGCAAGUGACGGUACCUGCAGAAGAAGCGCCGGCUAACUACGUGCCAGCAGCCGCGGUAAUACGUAGGGCGCGAGCGUUGUCCGGAAUUAUUGGGCGUAAAGAGCUCGUAGGCGGCCUGUCGCGUCAAUUGUGAAAGCCCGGGGCUUAACCCCGGGUCUGCAGUCGAUACGGGCAGGCUAGAGUGUGGUAGGGGAGAUCGGAAUUCCUGGUGUAGCGGUGAAAUGCGCAGAUAUCAGGAGGAACACCGGUGGCGAAAGCGGAUCUCUGGGCCAU
Molecule: ribosomal RNA, 600 nt
Filed under: Streptomyces prasinus
Lineage: Bacteria; Bacillati; Actinomycetota; Actinomycetes; Kitasatosporales; Streptomycetaceae
Description: bacterial SSU rRNA
Rfam family: Bacterial small subunit ribosomal RNA
Source: RNAcentral